AUAAGACAUCUUAAAACCUCUUUCAAAACAUUUAAAAAUGUACAGACUCCAAACUUUUGAAUAUUAAUGUAUGUAUAUGUAUGUUUAUAUUACAUUUAAUUCAAUUGUAAAAAUACCCAAAGGCUCCAACGUGGCAGAUGUCUCUCCUGGUAGAACAUCAAGACCCCUGUCUACAACUUUACGACAGACUAAAUCAUAACUUAGGGAAACACAUUCCUCCUUAUGUUAUGAAUUAGUGUGAAUCCUCUAUGUAUGAUCCCUAUGAACUGUAUGAGACUACACGUGUGAAUUUACAUGUAUUAAUUUAGCAGAUGAAUGCAGUGCAGUAUCUCGCAUGCAGAAGCGGAGGACCACCCAGGGCCUGCAGAGGAAGACAGAAUCAGAGAGCAGGAACCUCAUCGCCAUGCAGAUGACACGAGUCUAUCCCCUCGACUCAGAGGAUGACGUUGGGAAACAAAGGCGUGUUAAUGAUUUUCGGAGGCCACGGUCGAGCUGGAGAGCACUUCAAACUCAAGAGCAGGAAACACAGGGUUCCCACAGGGUCCAAACCAGCCAAAGACUGGGUGGAAUGAAAAUAUCCAGAAGGCUUUAGAAAAGAAAGGAGAAGGUUCUGUCAAGUCCUGUUAUCGGUUAAUUGUGGGUGUUUGAGACUUUAUGUCACAUUUCAAAGAAGGAGCUGUUUUUUUUUAAAUGGAGCUGUUUUAUAUUUCCAUUAUUACUUUAAUGGAACAUUAAUACUAAUAUUACUGACUACAUAAGGAGUUAAAUAUGUGUCCCACACCAUCUUUAAAAUUCUUAAAAUGUUCUCCAGAAUUGUGCCACUACAGAGCUCUCUCUUUCUCUUUUGCCCUCAUUUCUCAUCCCUCUGUCCAUCUCGUUAUUUAUUCAGUAAAAUGGGAGAUUGAUCAGAUAAUUGCAUUAGGAGGGGCAGAUUGGUCAUAAUCAUGGUGGUAUUGGCAGCUCGGGGCUGGAGGCUCAGCACUGACAUUAACUCAGACUCAGCAGUCAGAGGUCAGCGCCACUGAGAUUAAACUCUUCUCUCUUGAUGGUCAGCAUGGUUCGGGCCAUUUUACAGCCUCACAUCACCCCAACUGACCCCUUGAUGACCACUUGACAAAAUGGAGGGGAGGGUGAGGACAAAAGAGAGCUGACCAAGGAGGAUGAGCGUUGAGAUGAAAGGAGGAGGGAGAGGUAACAGAGAGGAGAGGUAACGGCAGACGUGAAAAAAAAGAAGAAAAAAAAUUGCACAAAGACCGCUGCAGCAUACCAAAGGAGUGAGGUCAUGAGCACUUCCUUUGCAUCAAAUUCAUGCCAUCCAUGUACAGUAUGCGUUUCAAACAAAGUUAAUAGUGAUCUUCUCAAUUUUUUAAAUCUCUUUAUUUUUAUUAUUAUUAUUUUAUUUUUUUUUUGUUAAAUUCUGUCCAUUGGGAUCAUUUUACAAUUUAAACCAACAGAGACUGACUAUAUUAGAGUUAUUAGACAAGGUCACUUCUUAAGUCAUGACAUACUUUACUGAUAAAACGCCUCCGCUUCUCUCACAUCUGCCCCCAACCUCUCUAUGGAAGCAAUUACAUCAUAUUAAAAGGUCUAAAGAGGCAUCAGUAAUCAGAGGACAUCUCAAACACAACACAAAUUAAACCCAAGGGCUAAUUGUUGCACAACUCAUUCUAAAAAGAUGGAAAUAAUUGUAACCAGGAGGAUGGAAUAUUCUGUGUACUUUUUUAGGAAAGUUAUGGAGAUUACAACAACAUGUACAUAUUCAAGGAUCCCCCAAAGCAAAUUGACUGAUACACAGAUUAGAUAAUGUUUCUAAUUUACUUGUUAUGCAUAUAUAUCCUCAAAUAGGGCUGGUUGAAUAGUAGGGGUUGUAACAAGCACACUGGAAUUUUACUUCAGCUAUAAAUGUAACACUUAAAUGUAACACUGGGAGUAAUUUAAGGCACAAUGAACUCAUUAUUAAUGUUUUAGAUGUGUACAAGAAAUACAAUUCUCCUCUCCCAAAAUAACAGACGAUUUCAGUAACUAAAGUGAGUUUAAGCAAAAUAAAUGCUUAGUUUAGACUAAAUAGUCUUAUAUAGUUUUAUAAGAGGUGAAUCAAACGUAAUGCACUGUUGCAUUUCACUGAUGCCAUUAUGCAUUAAAAGUUGUCUUUUUGAGGUUUAAAGUAAAAUAAAAUAUUUUGUAUUAAGUAAAGCAUUUCAGGGUGUAAAAAGUUAACUGAUGUGUUAACAUACAUGCUAGAAUACAUGCAGACCUAAAAAUUAUUAUCUUACUAAAUAAAAACAUAGAUAAGAACUUUUUUUUGUCUUUUUUAUUUCUGACCUCUAGAAGUAAAUGAAGAUUACUCAGCAAUGAUAAAAUUUUUAGUCAGUUGACUGAUGUAUUCAUCUUAGAAACACGCUGUUUGUGAUAUAUUCAUCUUUUGUUUAACCACAAUAAUCUGAAUAAUUCAUGUCAUAUCAUAUAUAAAUGUGCUUAACCAGUUUUCUGUCAAAAAGUGUUGGGUGACUAAUUUUGCUAAUGUUGCUCUGUCUGCUGUGCACACAGUCUUUGUGUCUCGUGGGUGUGUUUAGGGUGAAAACAUCUGCAUUUAAACUAUUCCCCUUCCUCAGGCUUGAAUACAACCACUUGCUCAGCAGAGCAACAGGAAGCCAGCCAUUUUUACAAUAGCUGCACUUAAACAUGCCAGAAAAUGCCACUGCGCAGAUGCAUGCAUGCAGAUAAAGUACUGGGGAUAACCUAAAAAAUUAUAAUAAAUGAUUUUUUUUUAGCUUCAUCUCUUGAAUAAGUGUGUAUUGUACUGUGUCAGUGAUUCAUUCAUCCAUGUCAAUCGUUCUUGUUUAUUUGAGGUGAAUGUGUUUUAAAUUGCAUGUUUUUAAAACAAGGGAGUAAAAUGUUAACUGAUGUGUUAACAUAAAUGCUUGAAUACAUGCAGAACUCCAAAACCUUUUUUAUUAUUAUUAUUACAUCUACAUGUGUGUCCACAUGCUAGCAUAAUCAGUUUAUACACACUGGUGUAAUUCUUAAUUCAUUGUUACAGCUCAGCAUUAAGACAACCCAGCUCCCUAUGGAUUUCAGCCCAACAGUUGGAUGAAAAGUGUGUGUACACACGUGCCGUUUAGUUACUCAAACAUUGUAAACUGUAUAACUGAAGAUUAGAUCUGAUUCAUAUAGAGUUUACCCUGUCGAUAAAUCAUUCAGCGCCUGCUGGGACGCUGAAGACUGACAGCGAGAGAAUGGAGAGCAGAGGAGUGAGAGAUGGCGACUGCAUGAAAAUACGUCAUAUUUGCUCUUGCAGAUGAUAAAAAAAAAUAAUCUGCAAAACCUUUGUUUCAUAUUUUAUAUAAAAUGAAUUAAUAUGGUUUGUCCAUCUGGCUUCAUUGUUUUGGUGUCCCUUUAACAUGAGCAUAAUUUAAUCUUUGAGGACUCAUGGUGACACCGCAAUAAAAUUAUGGAAAAUUGGAUGACUGACCCAUGACCUUUUAAAACAAACCAGCUCAUUCUUCAAACUCUUCUUCAAAUAAAAGCUUUCGUCGAUUCAUCAUCUCACGGUAAGCAGACAUGUUAAGUAGUUCUACGUUCCUGUGAGUCAUAAACUAGAGCAUCUACUCUGCAGGUCUUCACCUUACAGCAAAGAACAGCAUCAGUCAAACAACAGGACUCCAGUACACACAUACACAUGUGUAAGCAGAGGUUGGACAAGCCUUUCCUGCACACUCACAAUUUCAACAAUCCCCCCACUUCUCGUCUCUCCUCAGGGGCUAAUGUAACCCCUCACAGGGCACAGGUCUUUAUUUACAUGCUUUACAAGUCACUUACGCCUUCUCACCUGAUAAGGUCAGAGUUCAGCGCGAUGUGGGCGCCCUCGGGCUGCAGGGCCUGUGUGAGAAGUAUUUAGCCAUUUUAUUACGACUGGUCCCUGGCUGUUUUUAUGUAAAGUUUAAAGAGAUAUACUUUACAAGGACAGGGUGUCUGAUCAAAACCAAAGUAACGACCUCAACCAUAAUCUGCAAUUUGAAAAGGUAAAUCUUAAUUUGUUAAAUAUGUUAAAUUAAAUUGUUUGAUAUAAUUUGACAGAAAAUUUCUCAGAAAAAUAAAAUAAAACAAAUGUAAAAAAACGGUUCAUGAGAUUAAUCCUAUUGACCACCACAGUUUUUUAUUUUAGGGGUUUGCACCCUUAAGACUUUUGAAAACAGCUGUUCCUAGCGACAUAUGUGACACAUUCACUCUUACCAGAAGACGCCAUGGUGGUUACAAAUGUUGAAAACUAAUACUUUUUGUUUGCAUUUGAUCUGGAAACCUCAGUGUUAGUCAUAGCCACUUCCUCCUGUAACACCAUACGAACGUACAUGGGUAUUUUGGCAGACACAUAAACAUGAUCUUGACCAUGCCUUUUGUUCAUGCACAAAUGGCCUGGAAUCCAUCUGGUAUAUAACCAUUACAGUAAAAUGGCAUGCCCUGACUGGAAAUGGAAGAAGGGGACUUAAAGCAUGAUUACUUAAAAAUCACAACUUGAGAUUAGUUGUAGGUAUCAUAUUUAAUCAUCUAUAUAAUAUAUAAUUUCUAAUAUUUAAAAAAAAGGUUCAAUUUAAUUAAUGAGUUUUUUUUAUUUUAUUUUAAUAUUCAACUUUAAACAGCUUACCCCAGAUCUUUCAAGAUUUUAAAACUAGUGAAAAUGUGCAGCUUUCUUUGAAGAACAAUGCUGUUAUUCAUAGUGCUCAACUGCUGUAGAUCAGUGCGCAUAUGUGUGUAGAUAGUCGGGGUGCUGAUAAUGCUGUAAACCCCGGGUAACUCACUCUGCCUCCUAGUCAGUGUGGCCCAUUUAAAAGCCUUUGAUCCAACCCGGGGUGAAUGAGUCACUGACUAAGACACAAACACAGACACACACACACAGACACACACACACUCACUCACACACAUACAGACACACACACACACACACACACACACAAAGCACCAGCAUACUCUCACAUACAGCAUGGAAACCAAUGAUGAAACACACACACACACAGAAUGAAUUUACCAUUGUCCACAGGAAAACACCUCAACCAACUAUGACUUCAAAACAAGUGUAUCUGUGACGAUACUAAAACACACAGAUACAAACGGAAAGAGCGAGAGAGACCCUGAAGGACAGGUCUGCUCCCCGAGGAAGGCCAUUAGCUCAGGCCUGUGUUUCAUUAGUCUGAAUAGUUUAA
Cyprinus carpio carpio is the source of this 5198-nucleotide long non-coding RNA. The record is from Ensembl. Lineage: Eukaryota; Metazoa; Chordata; Actinopteri; Cypriniformes; Cyprinidae.